AUUUUUUUGAUUAUGUAGAUUUCUUUUCCUACUGCAGUUUCAUAUGCAAAGCAUGCAUCGGCCACAUCCAUGCUAUCUCCUAAAGCAGUCAUUCUGAAACCCAAUCUGGGGACAGUGCAGACUAAAUAAAAUUUCAUUUUGAUUUGGCCUCCCGCUGCGAACGGGACUGCUUUGUCUCGGCCGACAGAACCAGCAAGCCAGAAAGGUACCGAAACUGGGAACCGAUGUUCCUCUGGAACCAGCAUGAAAACUCCACAAAAUCCCUAGUUUGUCUCCACAGUGUUCUUAUUCCAAGUGUGCUGAGAGAAAAGGCCAGACAUGGGUACCUUCAUUUUGUAAAACAGAAAGAGUUGGAAAGAAAGCCCAUGUCCUUCUGCUGAGGUCCAGGCUGCCGCUGUUCCUGCUGCUACAGGUGAAGAAGGGAGAGUCACACUGUGGAGGACUAUAGAUGUGCUGAUCACUGCUGGGACCGGAUGGCUGAUGGGUUUCUCUUUGGCAGGAGCAUGCUAUCUGCCUGAUUGCUUGCCACUUAAACUGUAUAAAUAUGCACAGCAAAUCCUUUCUUCCAAGGAUGCUUUCCCAGUAUUCUCCCUCUUACAGUAAAGCAGGAUGUCUUCUCUCCUCUUAAAAAACAAAAAACCAAAAAACAACAACAAAAAAAGUUCAGAUCUCCUGACAAACAGAAAGUGAUGUCAUCAGCUUGAGCCUCUCCUGUCUCUUGCUUUUCGGUUCCUAUUCUGAUAAUUUCUUCAUCCCAUUUUCUUGGAAUUUAAUAUCACAUAAUUCCCCUAAACAAAACCCUCACUCCCCAAAGGCACUCUGAUUCCCAGGCUUGUUUAUAGUAAACGUGUGUGUUUGAGCUGGACAUCCUGUUCUACGGUAAAGUUUUAAAUACUAUCCUUACUCAAGUGACAGGUUAUAAGCCACUGAAGUCCCCCAGCAGGCUGUGUGUUCCCACAGUCACCUCUGCAUCAUCUGUGUGGAGAUUAGCCCAGCUUUUGUAACUGGAAUGGGCAAGCUAGAAUGGUGUAGGCCUGAAGGCUGACUGAGUUGCUCCCUUGAUGUAACCAGAGGAAGGGACUCCACAGGGGACUCACCUUGAAGGCAGCACAGAGAUGCAGGAUUUAACCUCGCAAAGAUGCAGUUUCUUCUAUGUUUGAUCUAUCUUUUCCCUUGUAUAAAAUGGGCUUCGGUUCUCAUGCAUAAACCACUAGGUAGAGAAACGAGGGGUCUUUUGCAUGAAAAACGCUGAAUCCAAAGAUGGAUAAACACUUGAUGUUGGAAGUAAAUUUUCAUUUUCUUUCCAUUCGCUGUUAUUGCUUUGCACAAUAGAGAUUCCACAGCCUCAGAAGCUAAGAGGCUUUUAUUUUUGGAUGGGGG
This 1380-nucleotide long non-coding RNA is filed under the name Mus spicilegus (steppe mouse). Its description in RNAcentral is "lncRNA (ENSMSIG00000025474.1)". The record is from RNAcentral. Lineage: Eukaryota; Metazoa; Chordata; Mammalia; Rodentia; Muridae.